RNAcentral lists this ribosomal RNA (433 nucleotides) under uncultured bacterium. RNAcentral describes it as "bacterial SSU rRNA". It matches the Rfam family "Bacterial small subunit ribosomal RNA", at positions 29 to 507 of the family's 1533-position model. The record is from RNAcentral.
AACGAACGCUGGCGGCAUGCCUAACACAUGCAAGUCGAACGAAGCCUUCGGGCUUAGUGGCGCACGGGUGCGUAACACGUGGGAAUCUGCCCUUCGGUUCGGAAUAACAGUUAGAAAUGACUGCUAAUACCGGAUGAUGACGUAAGUCCAAAGAUUUAUCGCCGAAGGAUGAGCCCGCGUAGGAUUAGGUAGUUGGUAGGGUAAUGGCCUACCAAGUCGACGAUCCUUAGCUGGUCUGAGAGGAUGAUCAGCCACACUGGGACUGAGACACGGCCCAGACUCCUACGGGAGGCAGCAGUGGGGAAUCUUGCGCAAUGGGGGCAACCCUGACGCAGCCAUGCCGCGUGAAUGAUGAAGGCCUUAGGGUUGUAAAGUUCUUUUGCCCGUGACGAUGAUGACGGUAACGGGAGAAUAAGCUCCGGCUAACUUCGUG